GGGGUUGUAGCUCAGCGGUAGAGCACUUGCCUUGCAUGUGUGAGUCACUAGGUUCAAUCCUCAGCACCA
RNAcentral lists this transfer RNA (69 nucleotides) under Marmota monax (woodchuck). It matches the Rfam family "tRNA". From Rfam's summary of the family: Transfer RNA (tRNA) molecules are approximately 80 nucleotides in length. The record is from Rfam by way of RNAcentral. Lineage: Eukaryota; Metazoa; Chordata; Mammalia; Rodentia; Sciuridae.